Molecule: ribosomal RNA, 253 nt
Filed under: uncultured bacterium
Lineage: Bacteria
Description: partial 16S ribosomal RNA
Rfam family: Bacterial small subunit ribosomal RNA
Source: RNAcentral
UACGUAGGGCGCAAGCGUUGUCCGGAAUUAUUGGGCGUAAAGAGCUCGUAGGCGGUUUGUCGCGUCUGCUGUGAAAACCUAAGGCUCAACCUUGGGCUUGCAGUGGGUACGGGCAGACUAGAGUGCGGUAGGGGUGACUGGAAUUCCUGGUGUAGCGGUGGAAUGCGCAGAUAUCAGGAGGAACACCGGCGGCGAAGGCGGGUCUCUGGGCCGAUAUUGACGCUGAGGAGCGAAAGCGUGGGGAGCAAACAGG